Molecule: transfer RNA, 78 nt
Filed under: Saprospiraceae bacterium
Lineage: Bacteria; Pseudomonadati; Bacteroidota; Saprospiria; Saprospirales; Saprospiraceae
Description: tRNA-Ile
Rfam family: tRNA
About the family: Transfer RNA (tRNA) molecules are approximately 80 nucleotides in length. Their secondary structure includes four short double-helical elements and three loops (D, anti-codon, and T loops).
Source: RNAcentral
GGUCGCAUAGCUCAGCCCGGUAGUAGCACAGAACUGAUAAUUCUGCGGUCGCUGGUUCGAUUCCAGCUGCGACCACCA